CUUAUAUUCUGUAGCAAGGUUAACCGAAUAGGGGAGCCGUAGGGAAACCGAGUCUUAACCGGGCGUUAAGUUGCAGGGUAUAGACCCGAAACCCGGUGAUCUAGCCAUGGGCAGGUUGAAGGUUGGGUAACACUAACUGGAGGACCGAACCGACUAAUGUUGAAAAAUUAGCGGAUGACCUGUGGCUGGGGGUGAAAGGCCAAUCAAACCGGGAGAUAGCUGGUUCUCCCCGAAAGCUAUUUAGGUAGCGCCUCGUGAAUUCAUCUCCGGGGGUAGAGCACUGUUUCGGCUAGGGGGCCAUCCCGGCUUACCAACCCGAUGCAAACUGCGAAUACCGGAGAAUGUUAUCACGGGAGACACACGGCGGGUGCUAACGUCCGUCGUGAAGAGGGAAACAACCCAGACCGCCAGCUAAGGUCCCAAAGUCAUGGUUAAGUGGGAAACGAUGUGGGAAGGCCCAGACAGCCAGGAUGUUGGCUUAGAAGCAGCCAUCAUUUAAAGAAAGCGUAAUAGCUCACUGGUCGAGUCGGCCUGCGCGGAAGAUGUAACGGGGCUAAACCAU
Molecule: ribosomal RNA, 562 nt
Filed under: Salmonella enterica
Lineage: Bacteria; Pseudomonadati; Pseudomonadota; Gammaproteobacteria; Enterobacterales; Enterobacteriaceae
Description: partial 23S ribosomal RNA
Rfam family: Bacterial large subunit ribosomal RNA
Source: RNAcentral